RNAcentral lists this ribosomal RNA (524 nucleotides) under uncultured Actinomycetes bacterium. RNAcentral describes it as "bacterial SSU rRNA". It matches the Rfam family "Bacterial small subunit ribosomal RNA", at positions 381 to 896 of the family's 1533-position model. Lineage: Bacteria; Bacillati; Actinomycetota; Actinomycetes. The record is from RNAcentral.
ACGUGACGCAGCAACGCCGCGUGGGGGAAGAAGGCCUUCGGGUUGUAAACCCCUUUCAGUUGGGACGAAGCUUCCUCGGUUAACAGCCGUGUGGAGUGACGGUACCUUCACAAGAAGCCCCGGCUAACUACGUGCCAGCAGCCGCGGUAAUACGUAGGGGGCUAGCGUUGUCCGGAAUCAUUGGGCGUAAAGCGCGUGUAGGCGGCCCGGUAAGUCCGCUGUGAAAGUCGGGGGCUCAACCCUCGAAUGCCGGUGGAUACUGUCGGGCUAGAGUACGGAAGAGGCGAGUGGAAUUCCUGGUGUAGCGGUGAAAUGCGCAGAUAUCAGGAGGAACACCAAUUGCGAAGGCAGCUCGCUGGGACGUUACUGACGCUGAGACGCGAAAGCGUGGGGAGCAAACAGGAUUAGAUACCCUGGUAGUCCACGCUGUAAACGAUGGGCACUAGGUGUGGGGGGUGUCGACUCCCUCCGUGCCGAAGCUAACGCAUUAAGUGCCCCGCCUGGGGAGUACGGCCGCAAGGCUA